AGGAAAACGAGGAUGCCCAGCCAUAGUAGGAACCGUGCGGCUGGACAAUGAAAUAUCCCAACAACAAUCAGGUUCCUUUCUUUCUGCCCAACUUGUACUUUGUUUUACAAUCCCUCUGUUUAUCGGCCCUCAAAAACUGAGAACCUUAGCACUACUAGACUCAAAAGCAUCUGCUUGUUUUUUAGACGAAGAAUUUGCAAAGCGUCAUAAGAUCUCUUUAGUACAAAAAUCAAAACCUGUUCAUGUUGAG
Molecule: long non-coding RNA, 250 nt
Filed under: Physcomitrium patens
Lineage: Eukaryota; Viridiplantae; Streptophyta; Bryopsida; Funariales; Funariaceae
Description: long non-coding RNA (PPAT_LNC008281)
Source: RNAcentral